RNAcentral lists this ribosomal RNA (376 nucleotides) under uncultured organism. Its description in RNAcentral is "partial 16S ribosomal RNA". It matches the Rfam family "Bacterial small subunit ribosomal RNA", at positions 525 to 896 of the family's 1533-position model. The record is from RNAcentral.
GGAGGGGGGGCAAGCGUUAUUCGGAUUUACUGGGCGUAAAGCGCACGUAGGUGGCAUGGGUAAGUCAAAGGGUGAAAGCCCUCGGCUCAACCGAGGAAUUGCCUUUGAAACUGCUUUGCUUGAGUCCGGGAGGGGGGAGCGGAAUUCCCAGUGUAGCGGUGAAAUGCGUAGAUACUGGGAGGAACACCGGUGGCGAAGGCGGCUCCCUGGACCGGUACUGACACUGAGGUGCGAAAGCGUGGGUAGCAAACAGGAUUAGAUACCCUGGUAGUCCACGCCGUAAACGAUGGGCACUAGGUGCAGCGGGUGUCGACCCCUGCUGUGCCGUAGUUAACGCAUUAAGUGCCCCGCCUGGGGAGUACGGUCGCAAAGGCUG